GACGAACGCUGGCGGCGUGCUUAACACAUGCAAGUCGAACGGAAAGGCCCUGCUUUUGUGGGGUGCUCGAGUGGCGAACGGGUGAGUAACACGUGAGUAACCUGCCCUUGACUUUGGGAUAACUUCAGGAAACUGGGGCUAAUACCGGAUAGGAGCUCCUGCUGCAUGGUGGGGGUUGGAAAGUUUCGGCGGUUGGGGAUGGACUCGCGGCUUAUCAGCUUGUUGGUGGGGUAGUGGCUUACCAAGGCUUUGACGGGUAGCCGGCCUGAGAGGGUGACCGGCCACAUUGGGACUGAGAUACGGCCCAGACUCCUACGGGAGGCAGCAGUGGGGAAUAUUGCACAAUGGGCGGAAGCCUGAUGCAGCAACGCCGCGUGCGGGAUGACGGCCUUCGGGUUGUAAACCGCUUUCGCCUGUGACGAAGCGUGAGUGACGGUAAUGGGUAAAGAAGCACCGGCUAACUACGUGCCGGCAGCCGCGGUGAUACGUAGGGUGCGAGCGUUGUCCGGAUUUAUUGGGCGUAAAGGGCUCGUAGGUGGUUGAUCGCGUCGGAAGUGUAAUCUUGGGGCUUAACCCUGAGCGUGCUUUCGAUACGGGUUGACUUGAGGAAGGUAGGGGAGAAUGGAAUUCCUGGUGGAGCGGUGGAAUGCGCAGAUAUCAGGAGGAACACCAGUGGCGAAGGCGGUUCUCUGGGCCUUUCCUGACGCUGAGGAGCGAAAGCGUGGGGAGCGAACAGGCUUAGAUACCCUGGUAGUCCACGCUGUAAACGGUGGGUACCAGGUGUGGGGUCCAUUCCACGGGUUCCGUGCCGUAGCUAACGCUUUAAGUACCCCGCCUGGGGAGUACGGCCGCAAGGCUAAAACUCAAAGGAAUUGACGGGGCCCCGCACAAGCGGCGGAGCAUGCGGAUUAAUUCGAUGCAACGCGUAGAACCUUACCUGGGUUUGACAUGGAUCGGGAGCGCUCAGAGAUGGGUGUGCCUCUUUUGGGGUCGGUUCACAGGUGGUGCAUGGCUGUCGUCAGCUCGUGUCGUGAGAUGUUGGGUUAAGUCCCGCAACGAGCGCAACCCUUGUUCACUGUUGCCAGCACGUUAUGGUGGGGACUCAGUGGAGACCGCCGGGGUCAACUCGGAGGAAGGUGGGGAUGACGUCAAGUCACCAUGCCCCUUAUGUCCAGGGCUUCACGCAUGCUACAAUGGCUGGUACAGAGAGUGGCGAGCCUGUGAGGGUGAGCGAAUCUCGGAAAGCCGGUCUCAGUUCGGAUUGGGGUCUGCAACUCGACCUCAUGAAGUCGGAGUCGCUAGUAAUCGCAGAUCAGCAACGCUGCGGUGAAUACGUUCCCGGG
This 1343-nucleotide ribosomal RNA is filed under the name uncultured bacterium. RNAcentral describes it as "16S ribosomal RNA". It matches the Rfam family "Bacterial small subunit ribosomal RNA", at positions 28 to 1378 of the family's 1533-position model. The record is from RNAcentral.